This 497-nucleotide ribosomal RNA is filed under the name uncultured bacterium. Its description in RNAcentral is "partial 16S ribosomal RNA". It matches the Rfam family "Bacterial small subunit ribosomal RNA", at positions 28 to 507 of the family's 1533-position model. The record is from RNAcentral.
GAUGAACGCUGGCGGCGUGCCUAAUACAUGCAAGUCGAGCGAACGGACGAGAAGCUUGCUUCUCUGAUGUUAGCGGCGGACGGGUGAGUAACACGUGGAUAACCUACCUAUAAGACUGGGAUAACUUCGGGAAACCGGAGCUAAUACCGGAUAAUAUUUUGAACCGCAUGGUUCAAAAGUAAAAGACGGUCUUGCUGUCACUUAUAGAUGGAUCCGCGCUGCAUUAGCUAGUUGGUAAGGUAACGGCUUACCAAGGCAACGAUGCAUAGCCGACCUGAGAGGGUGAUCGGCCACACUGGAACUGAGACACGGUCCAGACUCCUACGGGAGGCAGCAGUAGGGAAUCUUCCGCAAUGGGCGAAAGCCUGACGGAGCAACGCCGCGUGUGUGAUGAAGGUCUUCGGAUCGUAAAACUCUGUUAUUAGGGAAGAACAUAUGUGUAAGUAACUGUGCACAUCUUGACGGUACCUAAUCAGAAAGCCACGGCUAACUACGUG